Molecule: ribosomal RNA, 253 nt
Filed under: uncultured bacterium
Lineage: Bacteria
Description: partial 16S ribosomal RNA
Rfam family: Bacterial small subunit ribosomal RNA
Source: RNAcentral
UACGUAGGGGGCAAGCGUUGUCCGGAUUUAUUGGGCGUAAAGAGCGUGUAGGCGGCUUUACAGGUCCGUUGUGAAAACUCGAGGCUCAACCUCGAGACGCCGGUGGAAACCGUAAAGCUAGAGUCCGGAAGAGGAGAGUGGAAUUCCUGGUGUAGCGGUGAAAUGCGUAGAUAUCAGGAGGAACACCGGUGGCGAAGGCGGCCCUCUGGACGGUGACUGACGCUGAGACGCGAAAGCGUGGGGAGCAAACAGG